This 429-nucleotide ribosomal RNA is filed under the name uncultured bacterium. Its description in RNAcentral is "bacterial SSU rRNA". It matches the Rfam family "Bacterial small subunit ribosomal RNA", at positions 355 to 801 of the family's 1533-position model. The record is from RNAcentral.
UCGGGAAUAUUGGACAAUGGGCGAAAGCCUGAUCCAGCCAUGCCGCGUGAGUGACGAAGGCCUUAGGGUUGUAAAGCUCUUUUACCAGGGACGAUAAUGACGGUACCUGGAGAAUAAGCCCCGGCAAACUUCGUGCCAGCAGCCGCGGUAAUACGAAGGGGGCUAGCGUUGUUCGGAAUUACUGGGCGUAAAGCGCACGUAGGCGGAUUGUUAAGUCAGAGGUGAAAUCCCGGAGCUCAACUUCGGAACUGCCUUUGAUACUGGCAAUCUAGAGUCCGGAAGAGGUUAGUGGAAUUCCCAGUGUAGAGGUGAAAUUCGUAGAUAUUGGGAAGAACACCAGUGGCGAAGGCGGCUAACUGGUCCGGUACUGACGCUGAGGUGCGAAAGCGUGGGGAGCAAACAGGAUUAGAUACCCAAGUAGUCCCUGAG